Panicum virgatum (switchgrass) is the source of this 1851-nucleotide RNA transcript. It is a transcript of the gene named acyl-coenzyme A oxidase 4, peroxisomal-like, with no coding region annotated. The transcript has 13 exons. NCBI's taxonomy places the organism in Eukaryota, Viridiplantae, Streptophyta, Magnoliopsida, Poales, Poaceae. The record is from RefSeq and is a predicted model, not a curated record.
AGCCCAAACAUCGUCGCGUUUCGUAUCGUGUCGUGCCGCUCUUCUCGUCUUCCCUCUUACUCUUCCUCCACCUACUGCUCCGUCUUGAUCGGGGAGCUCGCCGGAUCCGCGAGGGGGAAGUUCGCGGGGGCCUCGAGCGCGGUGAUGGGCAGCUUGGGAGGUAACGAUGGCGCCGGGGCCGGCGGCAAGGUCGGGCUUCCGGCGCUGGACGUGGCGCUCGCGUUCCCUCAGGCCACGCCGGCGUCGCUCUUCCCGCCCGCCGUGUCGGACUACUACCAGUUUGAUGAUUUGCUGACUGAUGAAGAGAAGGCACUCAGGAAGAAGGUCCGAGGCAUUAUGGAAAAGGAAAUUGCGCCCAUUAUGACUGAAUACUGGGAGAAGGCAGAAUUCCCAUUUCAUGCCAUUCCCAACCUUGCAACUCUUGGCUUAGCUGGUGGUACAACAAAGGGGUAUGGGUGCCCAGGACUGUCACUUACAGCUAGUGCCAUUUGCAUAGCAGAAGUUGCACGUGUCGAUGCGAGCUGCUCCACAUUUAUUUUAGUACACUCCUCUUUGGCUAUGUCCACGAUUGCCCUUUGUGGAUCCGAGGCUCAAAAGCAGAAAUACUUGCCAUCACUUUCCCAGUUCAAGACUGUUGGUUGUUGGGCAUUGACAGAGCCAGAUUAUGGAAGUGAUGCCAGCUCCUUAAGGACGGCAGCAACCAAGGUACCUGAUGGUUGGCAUUUGGAUGGCCAAAAGCGUUGGAUAGGUAACAGCACUUUCGCAGAUGUGCUCAUCAUUUUAGCUAGAAAUGCAGAUACAAACCAACUAAACGGAUUUAUUGUAAAGAAAGGAGCUCCGGGUCUAAAAGCCACAAAAAUUGAAAACAAAAUUGGACUCAGAAUGGUUCAAAAUGGAGACAUAAUUCUUAAUAAUGUAUUUGUCCCUGAGCAAGACAGAUUAACAGGUUCUCGCUAUGUCUCGCAUUAUGGUAGCCUGGCAACCGAUAGGCAUAUCAAUGGGAGUUUUUGACAUGUGCCAUCGGUAUUUGAAAGAAAGGAAACAAUUUGGAGCCCCACUGGCAGCUUUUCAGCUCAACCAAGAGAAGCUUGUACGUAUGCUUGGCAACAUUCAGGCCAUGCUUCUCAUUGGCUGGCGACUAUGCAAGCUGUACGAGUCAGGCAAAAUGACACCAGGCCAUGCUAGUUUAGGCAAGGCAUGGACGUCCAGGAAGGCAAGGGAGGUAGUUUCUCUUGGCCGAGAGCUAUUGGGCGGCAAUGGCAUUUUGGCUGAUUUUCUGGUUGCCAAGGCAUUCUGUGAUUUGGAGCCGAUUUUUUCAUACGAGGGCACGUAUGACAUUAACAGCCUGGUGACGGGCAGAGAGAUCACCGGGAUCGCUAGCUUCAAACCUGCUGUGUUAACAAAAUCACGCUUGUGAAAUUCUCCAUGUUUUCUCUUACAGAGGAAGCCACCGUGAACACAAUAGAUGCCCACCUUGUAUAAAGUCUCAUGACUGGGAAAAGGAGCCACGGAAGAUUAUAUUAAUUGCACUGUCAGUUUUUCUGAUGGUGCCCGUGGUCAUUUUAAUUUCGUCUUGCAAAUUUUCCUAGCUCGAAAUAAUGCCAUCUGUUCCUACAUAGAUGCCACUGCUACAUAUAUAUGGCUGGUAGAAAAUAUAUCAUUAUGGAUUGAGUUCCUGAUGUAACACACAUUUGUUUUUAAGAAUCUUCAUCCUAGUGGUUCUAGUACUGUAUUAUAAGACAAAAAGAUGUAGCUAUAUGCUUAUAAUCAGAUAAAACAAAAGGAUUAAGGUAAAACUGUGGGGAUCGCUCGGAGACGGAGCUAGAAAUAAUGUAAGUGGUGAUAACUCAA